UACCAGUUAGAAAUGACUGCUAGUCCGGCAUAAGCGCACAGUACCGCAUGGUAUAGUGUGAAAAACUCCGGUGGUGUGAGAUGGAUCCGCGUCUGAUUAGGUAGUUGGUGAGGUAACGGCCCACCAAGCCGACGAUCAGUAGCCGACCUGAGAGGGUGACCGGCCACAUUGGGACUGAGACACGGCCCAAACUCCUACGGGAGGCAGCAGUGGGGAAUAUUGCACAAUGGGCGAAAGCCUGAUGCAGCAACGCCGCGUGAGUGAAGAAGUAUCUCGGUAUGUAAAGCUCUGUCAGCAGGGAAGAAAAUGACGGUACCUGACUAAGAAGCCCCGGCUAACUACGUGCCAGCAGCCGCGGUAAUACGUAGGGGGCAAGCGUUAUCCGGAUUUACUGGGUGUAAAGGGAGCGCAGACGGCACUGCAAGUCUGAAGUGAAAGCCCGGGGCUCAACCCCGGGACUGCUUUGGAAACUGUAGAGCUAGAGUGCUGGAGAGGCAAGCGGAAUUCCUAGUGUAGCGGUGAAAUGCGUAGAUAUUAGGAAGAACACCAGUGGCGAAGGCGGCUUGCUGGACAGUAACUGACGUUCAGGCUCGAAAGCGUGGGGAGCAAACAGGAUUAGAUACCCUGGUAGUCCACGCCGU
This 641-nucleotide ribosomal RNA is filed under the name uncultured bacterium. RNAcentral's name for it is "bacterial SSU rRNA". It matches the Rfam family "Bacterial small subunit ribosomal RNA", at positions 144 to 803 of the family's 1533-position model. The record is from RNAcentral.